UAUAAAAAUAAUUUUAAUUAUUUUUUAAUAAAUAAAAUUAUAUAAAAAAAUUUAAAUUUAAUUUUAAAAAUAUAAAUAAAAUUUAAUUAUUGAAAAAGAAAUAUUAAAAUAAUUUAAAAGUAAUUUUUACCUAAUGUACCUUUUGUAUCAGGAUAAAUUAAAAAAUUUAAAUUAAAUUUAACUCUCGAAAAAUAAAGAAUUAAAAUUAAUUUAAUUAUUAUUAAAAAAAUAAAAUAUUAGUUAAUUUUAGAUUUUAAAUAAAUUUCAAAUUUUUAAUAUCUAGUUAUUAAAUAAAUAAAUUUAAUUUAUAAUUAUUUAAACUUAAAAUUAAAUUAUUAUUAAUAAUUAAAAAAAUUAAAAGAUAAGUUUUAAUUUCUAAUAUAAUUUAAAUUAAAAUUUUUAAUAAAAUAAAUUUAAAAAUAAUUAAUUUUAAAAUAUAUUAUAAUUUAAUAAAUAAAAAAAACAUUUAAAAUAAAAUUUAUAAUUUAAUAUUUAAUUAAAAUAAAAAAUAAAAAAUUAUUUAAAAUAAUGAUUUAAUUAAUAUAUAAAAAAAAUUAAUUUAAAAGAAUUAAGCAAAUUUUAUUUUUAACUGUUUAACAAAAACAUAGUUUAAAGUUUAAAUUUUAAAUAACUUCUGCUCAAUGAAAUUUAAAUAGCUGCAGUAUCCUAACUGUACUAAGGUAGCAUAAUAAUUAGUUUUUUAAUUAAAAAAUAGUAUGAAAGAAAAAAUAAAAAAUUAACUUUUUAUAAUUAAAAAAUAUAAUUUAUUAUUUAAGUAAAAAAACUUAAAUUUAAUAAAAAGACGAGAAGACCCUUUAGAAUUUAAUUAUUUUUAAUUAAUUAAUUUUAUUAAAAAUAAUUUAAUUGGGGAGAUUAUAUAAUUUUUUUAACUUAUAUUUAAAUAAACAUAAAUUAAUGAAAUUAAAUAAUCCAUAAUAAUGAAAAAAAAAUAAAUUACCUAAGGGAUAACAGCAUAAAAAUUUUUAAAAGAUCUUAUUAACAAAAUUUAUUAUGACCUCGAUGUUGAAUUAAGAAUAACUUAUAAAGUAGAUUUUAUAAUAUUUAAGUCUGUUCGACUUUUAAUUUCUUACAUGAUUUGAGUUCAAACCGGCGUAAGCCAGGUUGGUUUCUAUCUUUUAUUAAUUAAUUUUAUUAUAGUACGAAAGGAUUUAAUAAAAUAAUUAAAUU
Molecule: ribosomal RNA, 1188 nt
Filed under: Aleurodicus dugesii (Doogie Howzer whitefly)
Lineage: Eukaryota; Metazoa; Arthropoda; Insecta; Hemiptera; Aleyrodidae
Also listed under: 1 other name
Description: large subunit ribosomal RNA
Source: RNAcentral